GAUGAACGCUGGCGGCGUGCCUAAUACAUGCAAGUCGAGCGAACGGACGAGAAGCUUGCUUCUCUGAUGUUAGCGGCGGACGGGUGAGUAACACGUGGAUAACCUACCUAUAAGACUGGGAUAACUUCGGGAAACCGGAGCUAAUACCGGAUAAUCUUUUGCACCGCAUGGUUGAAAAGUGAAAGUCGGCCUUGCUGUCACUUAUAGCUGGAUCCGCGCUGCAUUAGGUAGUUGGGAAGGUAACGGCUUACCAAGGCAACGAUGCGUAGCCGACCUGUGAGGGUGAUCGCCCACACUGGAACUGGGACACGGUCCAGACUCCUACGGGAGGCAGCAGUAGGGAAUCUUCCGCAAAGGGCGAAAGCCUGACGGAGCAACGCCGCGUGAGUGAUGAAGGUCUUCGGAUCGUAAAACUCUGUUAUUAGUGAAGAACAUAUGUGUAAGUAACUGUGCACAUCUUGACGGUACCUAAUCAGAAAGCCACGGCUAACUACGUG
RNAcentral lists this ribosomal RNA (497 nucleotides) under uncultured bacterium. Its description in RNAcentral is "partial 16S ribosomal RNA". It matches the Rfam family "Bacterial small subunit ribosomal RNA", at positions 28 to 507 of the family's 1533-position model. The record is from RNAcentral.